UACGAAGGGGGCUAGCGUUGUUCGGAAUUACUGGGCGUAAAGCGCGCGCAGGCGGUCUUCCAAGUCAGUGGUGAAAGCCCGGAGCUCAACUCCGGAACUGCCAUUGAAACUGUUAGACUUGAGGACGAGAGAGGUGAGUGGAAUUCCCAGUGUAGAGGUGAAAUUCGUAGAUAUUGGGAAGAACACCGGUGGCGAAGGCGGCUCAGUGGCUCGUAUCUGACGCUCAGGCGCGAUAGCGUGGGGAUCAAACAGG
RNAcentral lists this ribosomal RNA (253 nucleotides) under uncultured bacterium. Its description in RNAcentral is "partial 16S ribosomal RNA". It matches the Rfam family "Bacterial small subunit ribosomal RNA", at positions 524 to 776 of the family's 1533-position model. The record is from RNAcentral.